Unclassified non-coding RNA from Papio anubis (olive baboon), 148 nucleotides. It matches the Rfam family "Metazoan signal recognition particle RNA". Rfam says of the family: The signal recognition particle (SRP) is a universally conserved ribonucleoprotein. NCBI's taxonomy places the organism in Eukaryota, Metazoa, Chordata, Mammalia, Primates, Cercopithecidae. The record is from Ensembl.
GCCGGGUGUGGUGGCGGGCACCUGUAAUCCCAGCUACACAGGAGGCUGAGGCAGGAGAAUUGCUUGAACCUGGGAGGCAGAGGUUGCAGUGAGCCAAGAUCGUGCCACUGCACUCCAGCCUGGGUGACAAAGCGAGACUCCGUCUCCA